GUGUAUAGAGUGGCGAACGGGUGAGUAACACGUGACCAACCUGCCUCUUACAUUGGGACAACCAAAAGAAAUUCUGGCUAAUACCAAAUACUCCGCACAUAUCACAUGAUGUAUGCGGGAAAGCUUUUGCGGUAAGAGAUGGGGUCGCGGCCCAUUAGGUAGACGGCGGGGUAGAAGCCCACCGUGCCGAUGAUGGGUAGCCGGGUUGAGAGACCGACCGGCCACAUUGGGACUGAGAUACGGCCCAGACUCCUACGGGAGGCAGCAGUGGGGAAUAUUGCGCAAUGGGGGAAACCCUGACGCAGCAACGCCGCGUGCGGGAUGAAGGCCUUCGGGUUGUAAACCGCUUUCAGCAGGGAAGACAUCGACGGUACCUGCAGAAGAAGCCCCGGCUAACUACGUGCCAGCAGCCGCGGUAAUACGUAGGGGGCGAGCGUUAUCCGGAUUCAUUGGGCGUAAAGCGCGCGCAGGCGGUUGCUCAAGCGGAACCUCUAAUCUCGGGGCUUAACCUCGAGCCGGGUUCCGAACUGGACGACUCGAGUGCGGUAGAGGCAGAUGGAAUUCCCGGUGUAGCGGUGGAAUGCGCAGAUAUCGGGAAGAACACCAACGGCGAAGGCAGUCUGCUGGGCCGUCACUGACGCUGAGGCGCGAAAGCUGGGGGAGCGAACAGGAUUAGAUACCCUGGUAGUCCCAGCCGUANACGAUNNNCGCUGGGUGUGGGA
Molecule: ribosomal RNA, 722 nt
Filed under: uncultured bacterium
Lineage: Bacteria
Description: bacterial SSU rRNA
Rfam family: Bacterial small subunit ribosomal RNA
Source: RNAcentral